GUACAGUACCAUACAGAAGUGGUGCACUAAAACUGUAGCUGAGAAUUGCUCUGCCACAAUUCCAAUAAUAUUUAAUGCAUUAGUUACCCGGAAGUGUUUUAAUUCUGGCCUCUGCUAGGACCUUCCGCAAUGCAGGCACUGGAACUGCCUGCCAUAUCAAUUCUCAGUAUGGGAGGAGGGUGUAAAUUUUAAAUGAAAUUUUGAGAUUGACAAUAUAUCAUCUAGGCAGCAGAAAACAGAACAAGUUACUUUGGUCUGAAAGCAUUCAACUAGGAUUUGUAAAUGAUAACCUAAAGUGAUUCAUGAUUUCUGUAUAUUACAGAAUGGUCAACAAGACUGGUUCUGUGUGAUUCAUUCCCCAGCUGCUGCUCAGGAAAGGGUGAAGAUGGAAACAGCAGACCAUUAGUGAUGAUAUUCAAAGAAGAAGCAGUUUCCUUACUCCUACUUUCCACCUCAACAACACACAAAAACAGGGCCAAGGGAUAUCUCUUCUCUCCUGCAUAAAAACAAGAGGCCUCUUCUCUUCCCUCUGAGAUUUGACUCCACCCUCACGGCCUUCAAGGCCCUCAGGGACUGCUGGC
Molecule: long non-coding RNA, 581 nt
Filed under: Equus caballus (horse)
Lineage: Eukaryota; Metazoa; Chordata; Mammalia; Perissodactyla; Equidae
Description: lncRNA (ENSECAG00000050952.1)
Source: RNAcentral